Molecule: ribosomal RNA, 331 nt
Filed under: uncultured eukaryote
Lineage: Eukaryota
Description: partial 18S ribosomal RNA
Rfam family: Eukaryotic small subunit ribosomal RNA
Source: RNAcentral
CCCUUAGAUGUCCGGGGCUGCACGCGCGCUACACUGAAGGAAUCAGCGUGCUAGAAAACCUUGUUUGACAUGGCUAGGUAACCCGUUGAAAAUCUUUCGUGAUUGGGAUCGGGACUUGCAAAUGUGUCCCUUGAACGAGGAAUUCCCAGUAAGUGCGGGUCAUAAGCUCGCGCUGAUUACGUCCCUGCCCUUUGUACACACCGCCCGUCGCUGCCCGGAACUGAGCCGUUUCGAGAAGACUGGAGACUGCGAACUUUGGGCUGGAAAACAGCUUUUUGUUUGUGGAAACCACUUUAAUCGCAGCGGCUUGAACCGGGCAAAAGUCGUAACA